RNAcentral lists this transfer RNA (69 nucleotides) under Streptococcus agalactiae 18RS21. RNAcentral describes it as "tRNA-Gly". It matches the Rfam family "tRNA". Rfam says of the family: Transfer RNA (tRNA) molecules are approximately 80 nucleotides in length. Their secondary structure includes four short double-helical elements and three loops (D, anti-codon, and T loops). Lineage: Bacteria; Bacillati; Bacillota; Bacilli; Lactobacillales; Streptococcaceae. The record is from RNAcentral.
GCGGGUGUAGUUUAGCUKSYAAAACUACAGCCUUCCAAGCUGUUGUCGCGAGUUCGAUUCUCGUCACCC